This is a long non-coding RNA of Leopardus geoffroyi (Geoffroy's cat), 833 nucleotides long. RefSeq lists it as uncharacterized. The record is from RefSeq and is a predicted model, not a curated record. The transcript is spliced from 3 exons. Lineage: Eukaryota; Metazoa; Chordata; Mammalia; Carnivora; Felidae.
GUAACGUUGUCCUUCCGCUCAGUUCUUAUAUGCACAAGAUGACAAGGAAAAUGAUCGAAAAGUGAAAAAAAGUUGCAGAAUGUGAAGUUGGAAAAAUUGGGUUGAAGUUCAAAAUGACAUCUCUCUCUCUCGAGGCAGAACACCUUCAGGGUAAAUAUGUAUUGAACACUUCCCACGGCUUCAGCCCUGCGCUAAGGCUGCCAUAUUAGGAGAGGACUUGGGAGGAAUGAUGCUCACAAGCUCUGCUCCAAAAUGAUACACUACUCUUCCUCCUUGAGGUAUAUGGAACUGGGAAAACCUCGAUAUGUUAGAGGCUGGGAAGACCAAUAUCUGGCCAAAUGAAAAGGCAAGUUUAUUAGGAUGGUGAUGAUCCAAUAAAAGGAAUUACUUCAGCAGGACCCGGAAGAGGACGCACACUUUCAUAUGGACAAAUUAGAGAGAGAGAAGAGAGAGAGGCCCAUGGAUGUAGCAUACACUGAAAAUUCUGUGUACGUAUCUUCUAUUUGCUGAUUGGGCCAGCUCUCCAACCUCUCUCAGCAACACACAACCUUGCACAACCUCAGAAAUCACCGUUCACCCCAGCAGCAGAUCCUUGGUAGAUUUCAUGGAAUCUUGCCUUACACAAGCCUGGUUAACCCCCAGCAGAGAUCCCAGCUGAAUCCUCACACAGAGUUUUGGUGCCCACCCUCUGUGCAGCUUCCUCUUCUCUGAAUACCACUGGCUUGCAAAUUCCAGAUGCUUCAGGCAGCCACAAAUUCCAAUCUCAGACCCCAAAACUCAGCAUGACUGUAAAUCUGCUUGGGCUCCCCACCCUGUGCCAUGGCAAGAAGCAG